This is a transfer RNA of Sclerotinia sclerotiorum, 118 nucleotides long. It matches the Rfam family "tRNA". Rfam says of the family: Transfer RNA (tRNA) molecules are approximately 80 nucleotides in length. Their secondary structure includes four short double-helical elements and three loops (D, anti-codon, and T loops). The record is from Rfam. NCBI's taxonomy places the organism in Eukaryota, Fungi, Ascomycota, Leotiomycetes, Helotiales, Sclerotiniaceae.
GGCCUGAUAGUUCAGUGGUAGAAUUCUUGCUUUGGGUUGAGAAUGAUUAACUAAUCUGUUGGUUAAGCUUAUAAAUCUAAAUUGUAAGAGGUCUCCGGUUCGAUCCCGGAUUAGGCCC